AAAAGACUUAGUCCUAACCUUACCAUUAGCUAUCAUCAGACAUAUACAUGCAAGUAUCCGCGCUCCAGUGUAAACGCCCUCACUCAUUAGCCUCGCCCAGGCAAGAGGAGCAGGUAUCAGGCUCACCUACCGUAGCCCAAAACACCUAGCCCAGCCACACCCCCACGGGUAUUCAGCAGUAAUUAACAUUAAGCAAUAAGUGUAAGCUUGACUUAGUCACAAUGAUUCUAGGGCCGGUAAAUCUUGUGCCAGCCACCGCGGUCAUACAAGAGGCCCAAGUUAAUGGUAUUCGGCGUAAAGCGUGGAAACAUGUUAUCCAAAAAACUAGGACCAAAAUGCACCCAAGCUGUCAUAUGCCUAAGAUGCACCAAAACCCCACAUAAAAACGGCCCUAGUACUAAAGACUAAUUAUAUACCACGAAAGCCAAGGAACAAACUGGGAUUAGAUACCCCACUAUGCUUGGCCCUAAAUCUAGAUGCUUAACCCACCAAAGCAUUCGCCCGAGAACUACGAGCAUAAACGCUUAAAACUCUAAGGACUUGGCGGUGCCCUAAACCCACCUAGAGGAGCCUGUUCUAUAAUCGAUACCCCACGAUUCACCCAACCAUCCCUUGCUCUAAACAGCCUACAUACCGCCGUCGGCAGCUCGCCUACUGAAAGAAAAACAGCGAACAUAAUAGUCUCCCACUAACAAGACAGGUCAAGGUAUAGCCCAUGGGAUGGAAGAAAUGGGCUACAUUUUCUAAUAUAGACCACAUCCUUCACACUUCAACGGAAAAGGGAAUGAAACACCCUUAGAAGGCGGAUUUAGUAGUAAAGUGGGAUCAGAAUGCCCACUUUAAACUGGCUCUAGGGCACGUACAUACCGCCCGUCACCCUCCUCAUAAGCAACUAACCUAAUACAUAAUACCCCCCCCCCAGCUAAAGAUGAGGUAAGUCGUAACAAGGUAAGUGUACCGGAAGGUGUACUUAGCAUAUC
This 980-nucleotide non-coding RNA is filed under the name Crypturellus cinnamomeus. RNAcentral's name for it is "12S ribosomal RNA". It matches the Rfam family "Bacterial small subunit ribosomal RNA". Lineage: Eukaryota; Metazoa; Chordata; Aves; Tinamiformes; Tinamidae. The record is from RNAcentral.